This 399-nucleotide ribosomal RNA is filed under the name Acidithiobacillus ferridurans. Its description in RNAcentral is "partial 23S ribosomal RNA". It matches the Rfam family "Bacterial large subunit ribosomal RNA", at positions 1 to 430 of the family's 2925-position model. The record is from RNAcentral. Lineage: Bacteria; Pseudomonadati; Pseudomonadota; Acidithiobacillia; Acidithiobacillales; Acidithiobacillaceae.
GAUAUAUGGUCAAGUGAAUAAGGGCAUACGGUGGAUGCCUUGGCAGAGACAGGCGACGAAGGACGUGGAUACCUGCGAAAAGCCUCGGGGAGUUGGUAAACAAGCUUUGAUCCGGGGAUAUCCGAAUGGGGCAACCCAGCCAGAGUGAUCUGGUUAUUGCACACUGAAUACAUAGGUGUGUAAAGCGAACGCGGUGAACUGAAACAUCUCAGUAGCUGCAGGAAAAGAAAUCAACCGAGAUUCCCGUAGUAGCGGCGAGCGAACCGGGAGCAGCCUUCAUGAUGUAGCCAUAGACUUAGGAGAACGACCUGGGAAGGUCGGCCGUAGUGGGUGAUAGCCCCGUAUCCGAAAAGGCUUUGGUGGAACUAGGCAUGAGCAAAGUAGGGCGGGACACGUGGA